ACAGAAUCUACUGAGGGCAGAGUCUGGAGGGCAGGGAGCUCCUGUCUCCUCAGGUCCUGGUGGGCACGGAGGGAACCGUACAUACACGGGGAUGGCCGUCCCGAAGGCUCUACCCCGGAGUCGUCCAGACCACUGGGGUCACGGGACGUCCCGGUGUCCUCGGCUCUCCGUCUGGAAAGGGGUUUCGGAGGCGCCCAGUGUUGUGGUGCGGGUUGGACAGCCAGCGACUCACGCACUAGCCCCACGCUGAGCCCGGGAUCCGGGGCCGCGGCUUCUGAGCCCAGAUCGACCGCCCGAGUGGGGACUGGAGACCCUGGCCCCGCUCCGCCCCCUCGGACCCCACUUCUCCCAGGACCCAGCCCGGAGCCCCGCGGAAGCACCACACCCGCGUGAAGAGGCUGGAACGCCCCCCGGAGAGGCUCCAGGAGGAGAUCCUGCUUAGCCCUUGGCAAAGUCCCUGCUGAUAUUUUUUACUCAAAACUAAACUUUAUUCUUAAUCUAAUUGCGAAAGUAAUCCAAGCUCACUGCAGAAACUGCAGACCUUACAGGAAAGCACAAGGCAAAGGAAAACUAGAAAUCCUGCGACCCCGGCAUCCUGGUUCUGCAGAAAUCUUGCCAUCACAGAGUGUGGGAUCCCAGCUGACAACCAGAGAAUGAUGUGGAGGAAAUUUGAUAUUCCUAGUUACAUGUGCAGUUUACAAGUCCCUCAGGGCACCCCGGGACUCCCAGUGAAACGCAUGAUUGAAGAGAUGCUUGGAGAGGCUCUUAACCACAGAUGAGUCAGAGUUGCUGGUUCCGAAAAUUCUCAGACCCUCAGAUGGCAAAUGAUGCUAAAAUGAAGAAAUGGCUUUCAGUCAAAGAUAAAACUCAGGGGACUGUCAGGAAAAUAUGAUACAG
Long non-coding RNA from Bos taurus (domestic cattle), 897 nucleotides. Lineage: Eukaryota; Metazoa; Chordata; Mammalia; Artiodactyla; Bovidae. The record is from Ensembl.